CAUCCAUCUACUUUUCAAAAGUAGCUCUUUGCUCAGCAGUAGGACGAUUUGGUAACACUAUGGGUUCUUAGUUGAGUACAUGAUCUAAUUUUUCUGAGGUCAGGACAAUCUUGAGGUUGCUGAGCUAAUCUUUGUAAUUAGUUGCGGUCAAAUGAUUGGUUUCAAGUAUGUGGGUUAAAGGGUUUGAGGCUGACACUGUUUAACUGCGAGAGUAAAGAUUCAAAUUAGACUUUUAUAUUUUAAUGUUAUCUUUGC
RNAcentral lists this long non-coding RNA (255 nucleotides) under Elaeis guineensis (African oil palm). RNAcentral describes it as "long non-coding RNA (EGUI_LNC047726)". The record is from RNAcentral. Lineage: Eukaryota; Viridiplantae; Streptophyta; Magnoliopsida; Arecales; Arecaceae.